ACAUAGAAAGCCUUAUUGCUCCCUGUUUUCUUAUUUUGGGAAAUUAGGGUUGGAAUUAGGCAGCGGCCAGACAACCGUAGGGAUGGUAUCCACAGAUGGCGAGUGAUUGAUAUCGCUUAUCUACUAAAUCCCAUCUCACAUUU
Molecule: non-coding RNA, 143 nt
Organism: Jatropha curcas
Lineage: Eukaryota; Viridiplantae; Streptophyta; Magnoliopsida; Malpighiales; Euphorbiaceae
Source: Rfam